AGUGAACGCUGGCGGCGUGCUUAACACAUGCAAGUCGAACGAGAACGGUCCUUCGGGACGUCAGCUAAGUGGCGCACGGGUGAGUAAAGUAUAGUUAAUCUGCCCCCCAGAGAGGGAUAACAACUAGAAAUGGUUGCUAAUACCUCAUACUCCUUUAUUAUUAAUUAGUAAAGGGAAACGAAUUUCGCUGGGGGAUGGGACUAUAUCCUAUCAGCUUGUUGGUGAGGUAAUGGCUCACCAAGGCUAUGACGGGUAGCUGGUCUUAGAGGAUGAGCAGCCACAGUGGUAGUGAGACACGGACCAGACUCAUCGGGGGGGCAGCAGGGGGGAAUAUUGGGAAAUGGACGAAAUUCUGACCCAGCAACGCCGCGGGGAGGAUGAAGCAUUUCGGUGUGUAAACUCCUUUUAACAAAAAAGAUAAUGACGGUAUUAGUUAAAUAAGCACCGGCUAACUCCGUGCCAGAAGCCGCCGUAA
RNAcentral lists this ribosomal RNA (475 nucleotides) under uncultured bacterium. RNAcentral's name for it is "partial 16S ribosomal RNA". It matches the Rfam family "Bacterial small subunit ribosomal RNA", at positions 29 to 523 of the family's 1533-position model. The record is from RNAcentral.